RNAcentral lists this long non-coding RNA (475 nucleotides) under Elaeis guineensis (African oil palm). RNAcentral's name for it is "long non-coding RNA (EGUI_LNC059909)". Lineage: Eukaryota; Viridiplantae; Streptophyta; Magnoliopsida; Arecales; Arecaceae. The record is from RNAcentral.
UGGUGCAUAUUUCAAUGUAUGAGAUGUAUUUUUUCUAAAAUUUUUUGGGGCAGAGAAAAAUUAAAAAAGGAAGGAAGUCUCGCACAUGCGCGUGAAAGUAUCACAUCUCUUUGAGAUUUAGAGAGUCUUUCUCCUCAUCAAAUACUUUUAAAAUGGAACAAUUUUUGGUGAUAACAUUACGCAUUUGACAUGCUAUUUUUGGUAAUUUUUUUGAAAUUUUUCCAGAUUUAUCUGGGUGCCUAAUGGAUGCCAUAAGUUCCUCCUCAUGCCUGCACAUGUGGUGAUCAAACUUUGUGUGAAAAGAUGUGAGAACACAUCCAUUUAUGAGAAUUUUUAUCUAUUCAUUCUAUGUUUUGGAAUUAAGAUUGAAUCCUCUAUCUGUGUGAAGUUUUGAGGAUUUUUCUAAUUUGAGAAGGGAUGAGAAAACAUCCCUUCUCUGGUCGCACGUGUAGAGUAGGGUGUUGAUUGACAUAUC